CAGUAGCCGCGGGAAUACGAAGGUCCCGAGCGUUGUUCGGAAUCACUGGGCGUAAAGGGAGCGUAGGCGGCGUGGUAAGUCAGAUGUGAAAUCCCGGGGCUCAACCCCGGAACUGCAUCCGAUACUGCCGUGCUAGAGGAUUGGAGAGGUAGCUGGAAUUCUUGGUGUAGCAGUGAAAUGCGUGGAGAUCAAGAGGAACACUCGUGGCGAAAGCGAGCUACUGGACAAUAUCUGACGCUGAGGCUCGAAGGCCAGGGUAGCGAAAGGGAUUAGAUACCCCAGUAGUCCCUGUCUCUUAUAA
This 301-nucleotide ribosomal RNA is filed under the name uncultured bacterium. RNAcentral describes it as "partial 16S ribosomal RNA". It matches the Rfam family "Bacterial small subunit ribosomal RNA", at positions 509 to 809 of the family's 1533-position model. The record is from RNAcentral.